CGCGGGGGUAGGUGCCGUACGCGCGCCGCAGCUCCCGGCGCACGAAGUCCGGUAGCUGCAGAGGGGGGCCCCGCGCGCGCUCCACGCGGCCCCAGCGCAGCUCGGUUUGCAGGCUCCCGCCCUCCGGCCACGGCGCCCAGCUCUCGGCCACCGCCGCGGGCGCCUGCAGCGACAGUCCCGAGAUGCCGGCGGCGGCGCAGGGCCGGCGCAGGGUCGUGGCGUAGGCCGGAGGGCAGGCCCACCAGGGCGGCGCGGCCUCGGGUGGCGCGGCGGGGCCGUAGAAGCGGUGGUAUUCCCGUGGGGCCGCCCACUCGCCCGCAUGCAGGCUCCCGGGCCGGCUGCGGAAGCUGUGGGCCUGGACUGGGGGUAGCAGCAGAGGGGCGGCCAGCCUUGGGGAGCCGGCGGGAUCCAGAGCGGGGCUCCUCUCCGCA
This is a long non-coding RNA of Homo sapiens (human), 431 nucleotides long. Ensembl annotates it as C10orf95 antisense RNA 1. Its record names the gene C10orf95-AS1. NCBI's taxonomy places the organism in Eukaryota, Metazoa, Chordata, Mammalia, Primates, Hominidae. The record is from Ensembl.